AGAGUUUGAUCCUGGCUGAGGAUGAACGCUGGCGGCGUGGAUAAGGCAUGCAAGUCGAACGAACUAUUUUUAGUAGCAAUACUUUUAAUAAUUAGUGGCGAACGAGUUAGUAACACCUUGGUACAUACCCCGAAGUCGGGCAUAACUAGUCGAAAGACUGGCUAAUUCCCGAUAGUAUCGCAAGAUUAAAGUCGUAAGACGCUUUGGGAGUGGCCUAGGUCCUAUCAGCUAGUUGGUGAGGUAAUAGCUCACCAAGGCUAUGACGGGUAGGGGGUGUGAGAGCAUGACCCUCAACGACGGAACUGAGACACGGUCCGUACACCUACGGGUGGCAGCAGUCGAGAAUAUUCGACAAUGGGCGAAAGCCUGAUCGAGCGACGCCGCGUGCGGGAAGAAGGCCUUCGGGUCGUAAACCGCUUUUGCGUGGGAAGAACUAUGACGGUACCACGAGAAUAAGGGGUUGCUAACUCUGUGCCAGCAGCAGCGGUAAUACAGAGACCCCGAGCGUUAUCCGGAAUUACUGGGCGUAAAGCGCAAGUAGUCGGUUAUAUUAGUCUGGCGUUAAAUUCCGAGGCCCAACUUCGGAACCGCGCCAGAAACGGUAUGACUAGAACAUGUGAGAGGUAUGCGGAACGUGCAGUGUAGGGGUGAAAUCCAUUGAUAUUGCACGGAACACCAAAAGCGAAGGCAGCAUACUGGCGCAUUGUUGACGAUCAGUUGCGAAAGCGUGGGGAUCAAAAAGGAUUAGAUACCCUUGUAGUCCACGCCCUAAACGAUGUCGACUAGCUAUUGGGAGCAUCGACCCUUCCAGUGGCAAAGCUAACGCGUUAAGUCGAUCGCCUGGGAAGUACGAACGCAAGUUUAAAACUCAAAGGAAUAGGCGGGAGCUCGCACAAGCAGUGGAUCAUGCGGUUCAAUUCGAUACAGACCGAGGAACCUCACCAGGGCUUGAAAUCUAGCUGCAUGACUUAGAAAUAAGUCAGCCUUCGAGGGUGCUAGACAGGUGCUGCACGGCUGUCGUCAGCUCGUCUCGUGAGAGGUCUCCUUAAGUGGAUCAACGAGCGCAACCCCUGUCGCGUGUUACAAGUGUCACGCGAGACUGCUUCGGUAACGGAGAGGAAGGUGGGGAUGACGUCAAGUCAGCGUGGCCCUCUGAUGCCCUGGGCUACACGCAUGAUACAAUGGGCGUUACAAUGGGUCGCCAACCCGCAAGGGGGAGCUAAUCCCAUCAAAAGCGUCCUCAGUUCGGAUAGGAGGCUGCAACUUGCCUCCUUGAAGCUGGAAUUGCUAGUAAUCGCAGAUCAGCAUGCUGCGGUGAAUACGUUCUCGAGCUUUGCACUCACUGCCCGUCAACUCAAGGGAGCCGGUAAUACCUGAAGACCCAUUAUUUCCAGUGGGGACAUGGUAGGAUCGGUAACAGGGAGUAAGUCGUAACAAGGC
This 1440-nucleotide ribosomal RNA is filed under the name metagenome. RNAcentral's name for it is "bacterial SSU rRNA". It matches the Rfam family "Bacterial small subunit ribosomal RNA". The record is from RNAcentral.